This 240-nucleotide ribosomal RNA is filed under the name uncultured bacterium. RNAcentral describes it as "partial 16S ribosomal RNA". It matches the Rfam family "Bacterial small subunit ribosomal RNA", at positions 63 to 334 of the family's 1533-position model. The record is from RNAcentral.
CGAGUGGGUUUAGACCCACGGCGAACGGGUGAGUAAUACCUAGGAACGUAUCUUGAGUUGAGCAUAACCUGCCGAAAGGCAGGACAAUUCUCAAUGUGGCCGCAAGGCUAAAGUCGCAAGACGCUCAAGAAGCGGCCUGGGCACCAUCAGCUAGUUGGUAAGGUAAAGGCUUACCAAGGCUAUGACGGUUAGGGGCCCCGAGAGGGGAGACCCCCACACUGGAACUGCGACACGGUCCAG